Molecule: ribosomal RNA, 1350 nt
Filed under: metagenome
Description: bacterial LSU rRNA
Rfam family: Bacterial large subunit ribosomal RNA
Source: RNAcentral
UGAGUGCGAGCGGCUACGGCCGCGAAGUGGGUGAUGUCAAGCUUCCAAGAAAAGCCCUAUACCCGUUAAGGCAUGAUGGCCUGUACCCGAAACCGACACAGGUGGGGUGGUAGAGAAUACCGAGGGGCGCGAGGUAACUCUCUCUAAGGAACUCGGCAAAAUGGCCCCGUAACUUCGGGAGAAGGGGUGCCACCGCAAGGUGGUCGCAGUGAAGAGGCCCAGGCGACUGUUUACCAAAAACACAGGUCUCCGCUAAGUCGCAAGACGAUGUAUGGGGGCUGACGCCUGCCCAGUGCCGGAAGGUUAAGGAAGCUGGUCAGCGCAAGCGAAGCUGGCGACUGAAGCCCCGGUGAACGGCGGCCGUAACAAUAACGGUCCUAAGGUAGCGAAAUUCCUUGUCGGGUAAGUUCCGACCCGCACGAAAGGCGUAACGAUCUGGGCGCUGUCUCGGAGAGAGGCUCGGCGAAAUAGAAUUGUCUGUGAAGAUGCGGACUACGUGCACCCGGACAGAAAGACCCUAUGAAGCUUUACUGUAGCUUGGUAUUGUGCCCGGGCUCUGAAUGCGCAGGAUAGGUGGGAGGCUUUGAUCCAUGGCUUGCGGGUCAUGGUGAGCCAGCGGUGAGAUACCACUCUUUCAGAGCUAGGGUUCUAACGGUCACCCGUCAUCCGGGGACCGGACAGUAUCAGGUGGGCAGUUUGACUGGGGCGGUCGCCUCCUAAAAGGUAACGGAGGCGCGCAAAGGUUUGCUCAGGCUGGUUGGAAAUCAGCCGACGAGUGCAAAAGCAGAAGCAAGCUUGACUGUGAGACCUACAAGUCGAACAGGGACGAAAGUCGGCUUUAGUGAUCCGACGGUUCUGAGUGGAAGGGCCGUCGCUCAACGGAUAAAAGUUACUCUAAGGAUAACAGGCUGAUCUCCCCCAAGAGUUCACAUCGACGGGGAGGUUUGGCACCUCGAUGUCGGCUCAUCGCAACCUGGGGCUGAAGUCGGUCCCAAGGGUUGGGCUGUUCGCCCAUUAAAGCGGUACGCGAGCUGGGUUCAGAACGUCGUGAGACAGUUCGGUCCAUAUCCGGUGCACGCGCAGGAACAUUGAGAGGAUUUCUCCCUAGUACGAGAGGACCGGGAGGAACGCACCUCUGGUGUGCCAGUUAUCGUGCCAACGGUAAACGCUGGGUAGCCAUGUGCGGAGUGGAUAACCGCUGAAAGCAUCUAAGUGGGAAGCCCACCUCAAGAUGAGUGUUCCCAUGGCAUAAGCCAGUAAGGUCACGGGAAGAACACCCGUUGAUAGGCUCUACGUGGAAGCCGGGUAACCGGUGAAGCGGAGGAGUACUAAUAGACCGAGGGCUUGACC